RNAcentral lists this ribosomal RNA (465 nucleotides) under Vreelandella stevensii. Its description in RNAcentral is "partial 16S ribosomal RNA". It matches the Rfam family "Bacterial small subunit ribosomal RNA", at positions 338 to 795 of the family's 1533-position model. Lineage: Bacteria; Pseudomonadati; Pseudomonadota; Gammaproteobacteria; Oceanospirillales; Halomonadaceae. The record is from RNAcentral.
CCUACGGGGGGCUGCAGUGGGGAAUAUUGGACAAUGGGCGAAAGCCUGAUCCAGCCAUGCCGCGUGUGUGAAGAAGGCCUUCGGGUUGUAAAGCACUUUCAGUGGGGAAGAAAGCCUUGGGGCUAAUACCCUCGAGGAAGGACAUCACCCACAGAAGAAGCACCGGCUAACUCCGUGCCAGCAGCCGCGGUAAUACGGAGGGUGCGAGCGUUAAUCGGAAUUACUGGGCGUAAAGCGCGCGUAGGCGGUCUGAUAAGCUGGUUGUGAAAGCCCCGGGCUCAACCUGGGAACGGCAUCCGGAACUGUCAGGCUAGAGUGCAGGAGAGGAAGGUAGAAUUCCCGGUGUAGCGGUGAAAUGCGUAGAGAUCGGGAGGAAUACCAGUGGCGAAGGCGGCCUUCUGGACUGACACUGACGCUGAGGUGCGAAAGCGUGGGUAGCAAACAGGAUUAGAUACCCGAGUAGUA